GAUUUCUGGCUUGGCGCGCGCGGCCCGGUUCGCUUUGCGGACUGUGUGCCGUUGUGCGCCUGCCAUCCUUCUGGAGAACGGCUGUACCCUUCACUGGGCCGCAGUCGCGAUUCAGAUCUUUUACUUUGAAAAAAUUAGAGUGUUUCAAGCAGGCUUUAUGCUAUGAAUACAUUAGCAUGGAAUAAUAAUUUAGGACUUCGGUUCUAUUUUGUUGGUUUCUAGGACUGAAGUAAUGAUUGAUAGGGAUAGUUGGGGGUGCUAGUAUUCAGCGGCCAGAGGUGAAAUUCUCGGAUUCGCUGAAGACUAACUUAUGCGAAAGCAUU
This 323-nucleotide ribosomal RNA is filed under the name Eocercomonas sp. RNAcentral describes it as "SSU rRNA". The stretch from base 105 to 323 matches the Rfam family "Eukaryotic small subunit ribosomal RNA", at positions 736 to 955 of the family's 1831-position model. The record is from RNAcentral. Lineage: Eukaryota; Cercozoa; Cercomonadida; Cercomonadidae.